UUGCAUCUUCUACCUUGUUUUGUUUUACAGACAGUUAAAAGAAUAUGAUGCCUCCUCUCGUUUCAUUUCCUUAGUUAUAAUAAGAUUUGCAUUUGUCUCAUGCAAGAAAUCGUAAUGUUUUGCAUGAUUUCAAUCUAUAGGUGAAGAUUAUGUUUCAUUGUGGUUUUUUACAUGAAUGAAGAUGAUAAUGGGGUUUUCAUGAAAAAAUUGAUGUCUUGCAGGGCAACCGGGGAAAAGGAUGUAAGGUUCAAGGUGCUCUACUGUGGAAUAUGUCACUCCGAUCUACAUAUGGUCAAGAAUGAAUGGGGCUCUUCCACCUACCCUCUAGUUCCUGGGUAUGUUCCCUGUUCUCUUUCCCUCCUUGCAAUUUUCUUUCCAACUUUUUCCUUGUUGAUCCUUGUAUGAGUGUAUCUACAAAUGUUUUACAAAGAUCUAAAGCUUAAAAGGUGUAGAUUGGCCAAUAUGGGAUUCAGACUGAGCUCCUAGGUUUCACUGACAUGACAUUCGAAUGAAAAAUAGGAGGUUGUCAAUUAGGAAUGUCGAGCCCUUUUAGAUGGAAAAAAGAAAUGGUUUGACCAGAAUUAAGAAACAUUGUACUUGAUCAUAUCUGAUAUGUGAUUUAAUAUUUUUUAAUUUGACUAGAAGAAUGUUCAUAUUUCCUACGGCUUUCAAGUUUCAACAUCUUGUACUGGAGUCCAUUUUCAUCCCCAAAGCCUGAAUCUUGUGGCUUUCUUUUCCACGGCUCAUUAGAAAUAUAAACGAGACGAUAUAAGGAAAGCUAACAAAAAGGUUCUUGUUUCAAAGUGCGCUUUUUCAUGUUCAAAAAGCAAGAUGCUGAUCACCUCCAUAGAUAAUACUAUCAAAUUAUCUUUUUCAUGAACUAUAUAUUUUUCCUUAAUCACACAUCUAAUACCCAUAGAAACUGAAUUGGACAAUGCAGGCAUGAGAUUGUAGGCAUAGUGACAGAGUUGGAAGCAAGGUGAAAAGCUUAAAGUAGAGAAUAAAGUUGGUGNNNNNNNNNNNNNNNNNNNNNNNNNNNNNNNNNNNNNNNNNNNNNNNNNNNNNNNNNNNNNNNNNNNNNNNNNNNNNNNNNNNNNNNNNNNNNNNNNNNNAUAAUAAGAUUUGCAUUUGUCUCAUGCAAGAAAUCGUAAUGUUUUGCAUGAUUUCAAUCUAUAGGUGAAGAUUAUGUUUCAUUGUGGUUUUUUACAUGAAUGAAGAUGAUAAUGGGGUUUUUAUGAAAAAAUUGAUGUCUUGCAGGGCAACCGGGGAAAAGGACGUAAGGUUCAAGGUGCUCUACUGUGGAAUAUGUCACUCCGAUCUACAUAUGGUCAAGAAUGAAUGGGGCUCUUCCACCUACCCUCUAGUUCCUGGGUAUGUUCCCUGUUCUCUUUCCCUCCUUGCAAUUUUCUUUCCAACUUUUUCCUUGUUGAUCCUUGUAUGAGUAUCUACGAAUGUUUUACAAAGAUCUAAAGCUUAAAAGGUGUAGAUUGGCCAAUAUGGGAUUCAGACUGAGCUCCUAGGUUUCACUGACAUGACAUUCGAAUAAAAAAUAGGAGGUUGUCAAUUAGGAAUGUCGAGCCCUUUUAGAUGGAAAAAAGAAAUGGUUUGACCAGAAUUAAGAAACAUUGUACUUGAUCAUAUCUGAUAUGUGAUUUAAUAUUUUUUAAUUUGACUAGAAGAAUGUUCAUAUUUCCUACGGCUUUCAAGUUUCAACAUCUUGUACUGGAGUCCAUUUUCAUCCCCAAAGCCUGAAUCUUGUGGCUUUCUUUUCCACGGCUCAUUAGAAAUAUAAACGAGACGAUAUUAGGAAAGCUAACAAAAAGGUUCUUGUUUCAAAGUGCGCUUUUUCAUGUUCAAAAAGCAAGAUGCUGAUCACCUCCAUAGAUAAUACUAUCAAAUUAUCUUUUUCAUGAACUAUAUAUUUUUCCUUAAUCACACAUCUAAUACCCAUAGAAACUGAAUUGGACAAUGCAGGCAUGAGAUUGUAGGCAUAGUGACAGAGGUUGGAAGCAAGGUGGAAAAGCUUAAAGUAGGAGAUAAAGUUGGUGUUGGGUGUAUGGUUGGAGCUUGCCACUCUUGUGAUAAUUGUGCUAAUGAUCUAGAAAAUUACUGCCCCAAAAUGAU
RNAcentral lists this long non-coding RNA (2124 nucleotides) under Vitis vinifera (wine grape). RNAcentral describes it as "long non-coding RNA (VVIN_LNC007845)". The record is from RNAcentral. Lineage: Eukaryota; Viridiplantae; Streptophyta; Magnoliopsida; Vitales; Vitaceae.